RNAcentral lists this ribosomal RNA (433 nucleotides) under uncultured bacterium. RNAcentral's name for it is "partial 16S ribosomal RNA". It matches the Rfam family "Bacterial small subunit ribosomal RNA", at positions 29 to 507 of the family's 1533-position model. The record is from RNAcentral.
AACGAACGCUGGCGGCAUGCCUAACACAUGCAAGUCGAACGAGACCUUCGGGUCUAGUGGCGCACGGCUGCGUAACGCGUGGGAACCUGCCCUUAGGUUCGGAAUAACUCCCCGAAAGGGGUGCUAAUACCGGAUAAUGUCUUCGGACCAAAGAUUUAUCGCCUUUGGAUGGGCCCGCGUUGGAUUAGCUAGUUGGUAGGGUAAAAGCCUACCAAGGCGACGAUCCAUAGCUGGUCUGAGAGGAUGAUCAGCCACACUGGGACUGAGACACGGCCCAGACUCCUACGGGAGGCAGCAGUGGGGAAUAUUGGACAAUGGGCGAAAGCCUGAUCCAGCAAUGCCGCGUGAGUGAUGAAGGCCUUAGGGUUGUAAAUCUCUUUUACCCGGGAUGAUAAUGACAGUACCGGGAGAAUAAGCUCCGGCUAACUCCGUG